GUCGUCGUCGGACGGGACCUCGUGUUCUAGCGCCGUUUUGGCUGCUCGAUUGGUUGGUGGAGGAUUUGGGUCUGAAAUCCGGAUCAAGGAUGGGGAAAGGAGAUUGGGAUGGCUGGAAGAGUGGCCAGGUUCGAUGGUGGCUGUCGGGGUUAAGAGGGUGGUGCAGGUGGCAUUCACCGCUACCGGGCGCUAAGGCUCGACGGAGUUGGGGGCCGCGCGGCGGAUUGAAGCUGGGAUGGGAUGGGAUGGGAUCCGAUCUGAAUCGAUCGGUGGUGCCAAACCCAUUGCAGAUCUGUUAUCUGGCCAAUGGGCAUCGUCAUCUCCGGUCCGGCGCGUGGUAGCUUAUCCACGACAGUGCUGCUGCGGCGGUGAAGGCCGGAUCGCCGGAUGGUGGUGGGUGUGCGACGGUGGGAAUGCGGCUGGAACUCUUCCGGGCUUGGUGGGGCGUUUCCACAUCUUUGGUCGGGUCUUGGGCCUGGGUCAUGGUGUUGGGCCCAAUUAGGGCUUUAUUACUUUUAAUUUUCAGUUUGUUUAGUUUUUUAGUUGCAAUUUAUUUUUUGCUUUUAAUAAGUCCUGACUAUGUUUUGGGUUGGAAAUGUAGGCUUCGUCCCGGCCUGCACACCUUGCUUGCCAUGUCUGCUCUAGGUAGGAGCAUACUAGGAAAGCUGAUAGUAUUGGUUACUCAUGGCAACGAGUGAGGAUUAUCUUUCCGGUUUGUCACCACAAUUGUAAAGCGAAUGGAGUAACCCGUAGAACACUAUUCGCUAAAGGGUGCAUGUUAGAAUGCAUAUUCAUAGAUGAGACACCUGUUAUAAUUUCAUGUGGGUCUCUUGAGGCUUAUUGUAAUUUGGGGUUAAGGCACUAUGCUCCCCCGGGUGUAUUCUAUGGUUUCAGUAGUUGUUAAGGAGUGAGGACCACUGCACCAGCCAUUUCUUAAAAAAAAAAAAAAAAAAAAAAAAAAAAAAAAAAAAAAAAAAAAAAA
Molecule: long non-coding RNA, 982 nt
Organism: Rosa chinensis
Lineage: Eukaryota; Viridiplantae; Streptophyta; Magnoliopsida; Rosales; Rosaceae
Exons: 2
Source: RefSeq, a predicted model, not a curated record